Molecule: long non-coding RNA, 1194 nt
Filed under: Olea europaea subsp. europaea
Lineage: Eukaryota; Viridiplantae; Streptophyta; Magnoliopsida; Lamiales; Oleaceae
Source: RNAcentral
CUUCAAUGUCUCCUGCUCUGUCGUCGCCCGUCGCACCUUCUCCGACCAUCGCCCAAACCUUGUGCAGAUUACUUCAAUUUCAACCAUCACUAUUGCUUAUAUAACAAAUUUUUCACAUAAUCCAAUUCACAAGGAAAAAAUUUGUUCAUUUUACCCGGAAUUAGAUCCGAAAUAACUUCUAAAAGUUUAGGGUUUGCUUUAGCUUAAACAAAUGGAAUGCUUUCCUCAUUGCAAUCAAUGUACAUAUUAUCCACAACAUGCCCCGCAAAGGAUAAAAUCAGUUCAAGGUUUUUGAAAGAGAUUUCUAGAGAUGGUUUGAUCUUUCCAAGUAUGUGAUUUUUCUAUUUGAUGGAUAGAAAUAAACAAGUGGCAUAUAAACAGGAGGCGCUAUUUGAUCAAGAAAUGAAAGCCAGUGUUUUAUAAGGAAAUUUAGGUUGGAGAAGAAGGCUUAAUGUUUUCUGUGCAGAUUACUUCAAUUUCAGCAAUCACUAUUGCUUAUAUAAAAGCAACUUUUGGGGGUUUUUGCUCUAUGAUUUCUUGAAGAUUGUAAACCUUAUAUAUUAUCUACACAUUCAUAUAUUAUAUAUAGUAAUGAGAUGUAUAUUUCUUUCUUUAGUGUGUAUUCGUGUAAAUGUUUGACAAUCUAUCUUUUGUGCCAUUUGGAGUUGGUGUGGAAAAUUAUCUGCUGUUGAUAUGAUAAUUAUCUUUUGCUCUAUCUCGUCUUUGAAGAUUCAUACGGUGAUAUUGCCUCAAACGAUCGGAGAUGGAGGGUUUGCUAAACAGUCGAAGAAAUUGUGACGGUCAACGAAGGAGUAGCCCGACGAUGGAGGGGAGAGUUGUGGAUUUCAGGUCUUCUUAUGGAGAGAGAAGCAGCAGGGUUUGGAAAUGGAUAUUUCGGGUCUCACUCGGCCAGUUUUCAUUUUUUUAUGUAUGUAUUUCUUAUGCCCUUUUUGCUUUAUUUUUUAUUUUAUUUCAUGUGUCAUGUCAGCAAUUUUCAAACCCCUGUUUUUUAACCGAACCAUUCUACACGUACAAUUUUUUUCACAACACACACAUGCAAGUGGGUGGUGUCCAUGAUUAAAAUAAUUCUGGACCCCACCUUUGUGAGGGAGUGUGAAAAUUGAUGUAAAAAAAAUGAUGUACAAAUAGCAUUUUUGUUUUUAACAUGUUUUUGUCCUUGGCUGAGUAGCUUUA